Molecule: ribosomal RNA, 460 nt
Filed under: uncultured bacterium
Lineage: Bacteria
Description: partial 16S ribosomal RNA
Rfam family: Bacterial small subunit ribosomal RNA
Source: RNAcentral
CCUACGGGAGGCAGCAGUGAGGAAUAUUGGUCAAUGGACGAGAGUCUGAACCAGCCAAGUAGCGUGAAGGAUGACUGCCCUAUGGGUUGUAAACUUCUUUUAUAUGGGAAUAAAAUGUUCCACGUGUGGGAUUUUGUAUGUACCUUAUGAAUAAGGAUCGGCUAACUCCGUGCCAGCAGCCGCGGUAAUACGGAGGAUCCGAGCGUUAUCCGGAUUUAUUGGGUUUAAAGGGAGCGUAGGUGGAUUGUUAAGUCAGUUGUGAAAGUUUGCGGCUCAACCGUAAAAUUGCAGUUGAAACUGGCAGUCUUGAGUACAGUAGAGGUAGGCGGAAUUCGUGGUGUAGCGGUGAAAUGCUUAGAUAUCACGAAGAACUCCGAUUGCGAAGGCAGUUCACUGGACUGCAACUGACACUGAGGCUCGAAAGUGUGGGUAUCAAACAGGAUUAGAUACCCUUGUAGUC